Molecule: ribosomal RNA, 465 nt
Filed under: Vreelandella stevensii
Lineage: Bacteria; Pseudomonadati; Pseudomonadota; Gammaproteobacteria; Oceanospirillales; Halomonadaceae
Description: partial 16S ribosomal RNA
Rfam family: Bacterial small subunit ribosomal RNA
Source: RNAcentral
CCUACGGGGGGCAGCAGUGGGGAAUAUUGGACAAUGGGGGGAACCCUGAUCCAGCCAUGCCGCGUGUGUGAAGAAGGCCCUCGGGUUGUAAAGCACUUUCAGUGAGGAAGAACGCCUGGUGGUUAAUACCCAUCAGGAAAGACAUCACUCACAGAAGAAGCACCGGCUAACUCCGUGCCAGCAGCCGCGGUAAUACGGAGGGUGCGAGCGUUAAUCGGAAUUACUGGGCGUAAAGCGCGCGUAGGUGGCUUGAUAAGCCGGUUGUGAAAGCCCCGGGCUCAACCUGGGAACGGCAUCCGGAACUGUCAAGCUAGGGUGCAGGAGAGGAAGGUAGAAUUCCCGGUGUAGCGGUGAAAUGCGUAGAGAUCGGGAGGAAUACCAGUGGCGAAGGCGGCCUUCUGGGCUGACACUGACGCUGAGGUGCGAAAGCGUGGGUAGCGAACAGGAUUAGAUACCCGAGUAGUC